Molecule: small RNA, 387 nt
Filed under: Histoplasma ohiense
Lineage: Eukaryota; Fungi; Ascomycota; Eurotiomycetes; Onygenales; Ajellomycetaceae
Description: hypothetical lncRNA
Source: RNAcentral
CGCACACAGUCUUGACGGAGGGGAGAAGCGUGAGAUAUGCAAUCAAUCUUUCAGCAAAUAGCUUUAGGGUCUGAGGAGUGGGAUCGGGCUCGUCUUUAUCGAGAUUCGCAUGUACCGACUCGUUGCGAGAAUGCCUCCAGCUGAAAUGAAUCAGCACAAAUGUAUCUGAAGCAUACAGUGCCCAAUCUGCAGCAGCUCGCUCUUGUUUAGCUGCAGUAGCAGAAGCAAGCCUUGGAAAGCAAACAACAUUGUCUUGCUCUUCUUGUUGUUGCUGAUACUCAGCAGUGAAUUCUCAAGAUGUAGCAUAUUUCAACCAAUCUUUCAACAUCUUGAUCAGUUUGUUAUUCAUUUUAGUCAUGUGAUGGAUGUGGGAGGAUCUGAUGAUGG